GACAAUUAAAUGGUCAUGGUGCAGUGGUUGAAAGCUCGGUCUCCCAAUGACGAUGACCUAAGCUUGACCCAUGCGCGCCCCUUUUCUACGUUUUCUCAUGUUUUUUUGUUCUUUUUUAAAUUUUUACAAGGCAUUGAAUAUUAUAUAUUUAUGAAGGUGAUUAUUUAUUUGCAAUAGGACCAUAGGGGAAUGGCUGAAGCAUCAUGUUUCCCGCCCCAUGUCUUUGCUGCCUAUUUUCUCCACUUUUUUA
RNAcentral lists this long non-coding RNA (250 nucleotides) under Lathyrus oleraceus (garden pea). Its description in RNAcentral is "Pisum sativum (pea) long non-coding RNA (PSAT_LNC015828)". The record is from RNAcentral. Lineage: Eukaryota; Viridiplantae; Streptophyta; Magnoliopsida; Fabales; Fabaceae.